Prosopis cineraria is the source of this 732-nucleotide long non-coding RNA. RefSeq lists it as uncharacterized. The record is from RefSeq and is a predicted model, not a curated record. Lineage: Eukaryota; Viridiplantae; Streptophyta; Magnoliopsida; Fabales; Fabaceae. The transcript is spliced from 3 exons.
UUUUCGCUAUUUUGCCUUCCUCGAUGCCGCUUUCUGCGGAAACUGGUAGUAAUCAAGAUUCUCCUGAGGCGGUGCGGCCUGAGAACGUUUUAGCUAUAAUAAAACUUCUAUUUGCUGCCGUGAUCCGUAGCAUCAAAAUCACAGCCCCCAACAUUUUCAUUCCAUUUAUGUAAUCAACCGAUUAAACAUCUCCAUCCAAGUUUUAUUCCCCCCCCCCCCUCUUGUUAAUCGGGUUCUCCCAUCUAGGGUUCUUUAUAUGCGGAUCCCUCAUUAUACUGUCGCCGCCAGAAUCAGAAUUAGCGUAGGGUUUGAAUUUCUUGAUUGUGGAUUCGCUUCAAUUGUCGGGGUGACUGGAGACUCGCGAUUGCACCGGGACUUGGGGUUUUGAAUUUGCUCCAAAGGCCGCCGAUCCGUGUUGGAAUUUUAGGCCUUUUGGAGGCGGCAAGACUCGGUAUUAGUUGUUUCAUUUUGUCAUCCUCGCCCAGAAAAACGAGGUCAACGAAUUUUUUUGGGAGAUCGGGGGCUGAGCUUGCACCUAUUGUUAUAAACUGGAGUUCCACAAUGCUGGAUGUGAAUCAUAAUCGGGUUAAUAUAUCUAGCCCUUUUUUUCACCUAGCUGAAUGGCAUCCUUUAGAAUAGCGUCGCUAAACAGGGCUGAAGCCCUCUCCUCCCUCUGAAAUCAGGGUCAGCAGAGAAUAUAGCUGUUAGGUGUUUUCUUUGGGCGUGUGAGGU